RNAcentral lists this ribosomal RNA (465 nucleotides) under Vreelandella stevensii. RNAcentral's name for it is "partial 16S ribosomal RNA". It matches the Rfam family "Bacterial small subunit ribosomal RNA", at positions 338 to 795 of the family's 1533-position model. The record is from RNAcentral. Lineage: Bacteria; Pseudomonadati; Pseudomonadota; Gammaproteobacteria; Oceanospirillales; Halomonadaceae.
CCUACGGGGGGCAGCAGUGGGGAAUAUUGGACAAUGGGGGCAACCCUGAUCCAGCCAUGCCGCGUGUGUGAAGAAGGCCCUCGGGUUGUAAAGCACUUUCAGUGAGGAAGAACGCCUGGUGGUUAAUACCCAUCAGGAAAGACAUCACUCACAGAAGAAGCACCGGCUAACUCCGUGCCAGCAGCCGCGGUAAUACGGAGGGUGCGAGCGUUAAUCGGAAUUACUGGGUGUAAAGCGCGCGUAGGUGGCUUGAUAAGCCGGUUGUGAAAGCCCCGGGCUCAACCUGGGAACGGCAUCCGGAACUGUCAAGCUAGAGUGCAGGAGAGGAAGGUAGAAUUCCCGGUGUAGCGGUGAAAUGCGUAGAGAUCGGGAGGAAUACCAGUGGCGAAGGCGGCCUUCUGGACUGACACUGACACUGAGGUGCGAAAGCGUGGGUAGCAAACAGGAUUAGAUACCCUUGUAGUC